RNAcentral lists this ribosomal RNA (385 nucleotides) under uncultured bacterium. RNAcentral describes it as "bacterial SSU rRNA". It matches the Rfam family "Bacterial small subunit ribosomal RNA", at positions 28 to 416 of the family's 1533-position model. The record is from RNAcentral.
AUUGAACGCUGGCGGCAUGCUUUACACAUGCAAGUCGAGCGGCAGCGCGGGGGCAACCCUGGCGGCGAGCGGCGAACGGGUGAGUAAUACAUCGGAACGUGUCCCGUAGUGGGGGAUAGCCCGGCGAAAGCCGGAUUAAUACCGCAUAUGCUCUACGGAGGAAAGUGGGGGACUCGCAAGGGCCUCACGCUAUGGGAGCGGCCGAUGUCCGAUUAGCUUGUUGGCGGGGUAAGGCCCACCAAGGCGACGAUCGGUAGCUGGUCUGAGAGGAUGAUCAGCCACACUGGGACUGAGACACGGCCCAGACUCCUACGGGAGGCAGCAGUGGGGAAUUUGGACAAUGGGGAAACCCUGAUCCAGCCAUGCCGCGUGCGGGAAGAAGGCC